AAGUCGUAACAAGGUUUCCGUAGGUGAACCUGCGGAAGGAUCAUUUCCAAAAAAUCAAGCAUUGCCUUAUUAUAUACACCUUUUGGUGUGUGAACAGUUGGAUAGAAAAAUCAUUUUACUCUCGAAGCGGAUUAGCAUCUCGAUUGCUACUGUGGAGAGAGGCCUUGAUGAACCCACAUCCUUUUUGUUUAUAUUGCUCAGGCAAUAUCUACAAAGGGACGUUAACAUAAAGUCAUACUAUAUUUCUAAGUCAAAAAGACUUAUUGCUACAUCUCGUAUGUACAAUAUGUCAAUUUACUCUAGUAAAUAUACGACAACUUUUAACGGUGGAUCUCUUGGCUCGU
This 344-nucleotide unclassified non-coding RNA is filed under the name fungal sp. RNAcentral's name for it is "partial internal transcribed spacer region". The stretch from base 1 to 46 matches the Rfam family "Eukaryotic small subunit ribosomal RNA", at positions 1786 to 1831 of the family's 1831-position model. The record is from RNAcentral. Lineage: Eukaryota; Fungi.